RNAcentral lists this ribosomal RNA (227 nucleotides) under Fusarium solani. RNAcentral describes it as "partial 26S ribosomal RNA". It matches the Rfam family "Eukaryotic large subunit ribosomal RNA", at positions 62 to 289 of the family's 3401-position model. Lineage: Eukaryota; Fungi; Ascomycota; Sordariomycetes; Hypocreales; Nectriaceae. The record is from RNAcentral.
AAACCUACAGGGAUUGCCCAGUAACGGCGAGUGAAGCGGCAACAGCUCAAAUUUGAAAUCUGGCUCUCGGGCCCGAGUUGUAAUUUGUAGAGGAUGCUUUUGGUGAGGUGCCUUCCGAGUUCCCUGGAACGGGACGCCAUAGAGGUGAGAGCCCCCCGUCUGGGUUGGACGCCCGAACCCUCUGUAAAGCUCCUUCGACGAGUCGAGUAGUUUGGGAAUGCUGCUCU